This 305-nucleotide ribosomal RNA is filed under the name uncultured bacterium. RNAcentral describes it as "bacterial SSU rRNA". It matches the Rfam family "Bacterial small subunit ribosomal RNA", at positions 338 to 641 of the family's 1533-position model. The record is from RNAcentral.
CCUACGGGAGGCAGCAGUGAGGAAUAUUGGUCAAUGGCCGAGAGGCUGAACCAGCCAAGUCGCGUGAGGGAAGACGGCCCUACGGAUUGUAAACCUCUUUUGUCGGGGAGCAAAGAGAGUCACGUGUGACUCAUUGAGAGUACCCGAAGAAAAAGCAUCGGCUAACUCCGUGCCAGCAGCCGCGGUAAUACGGAGGAUGCGAGCGUUAUCCGGAUUUAUUGGGUUUAAAGGGUGCGCAGGCGGAGGUGCAAGUCAGCGUUCAAAUUGCGGUGCUCAACCCCGUACUGCCGUCGAAACUGCAUCCC